This is a long non-coding RNA of Myzus persicae (green peach aphid), 1179 nucleotides long. RefSeq lists it as uncharacterized. The transcript is spliced from 3 exons. The record is from RefSeq and is a predicted model, not a curated record. Lineage: Eukaryota; Metazoa; Arthropoda; Insecta; Hemiptera; Aphididae.
GAUGGUACAACAGGCUGCAUCGGUAAUCUGUAUCAAGAUCCGUUUUGCUUUUGACUGUGAACGCGUCACGGUAGUGGUAGUAUCGAAUAUUCGAAUGUAUACAUCGUUCCAUGUGUUGCCAUCGUGGGCCAUGUCAAGAAUGCGUUGUAAAUAAAUUGCAUCGGAUCAAAAUGAAUACGCAAUAGUUUUAUAGUUUAAGGUCACCUUAUUUUCCUGUCGACGUGGCACCGCGACUGUUUACGUGAACUACUUUACUUACUGAAUAACAACCGUUUUAUUCCAGAUGAUAAAAGUUGUAUUAGGUUUAUUUAAACUCGCCACAGUAAUAAAUGGCUGUUUGCUGCUGUUGUAUUAAAAAAAAAUGUAAUGACCAUAAAUUUUAUUAUAUUUUUAUUGUACAUAAUGUAUAAUAAAUUAAUAAUGAAUAAUGUAAUGUCUGGCAUGCGCCGAUUUAUCAUCAAGCAAGACUUUAUGAUACGAGCGCAUUUGCAGCGCGACAACAAUGAAAAAUUUGAUAGCGGUGAUGAGAUGGUUCUUUGUUCAACCUACACUUCACUAAUGGUAUGGCUCCACCAUUAUUUCUGGCUGUGGGCAGUCACCCACAGCAGAUUACUGAACAACCAUGGAUCACUAUGGGUAUAAUUAACAUCAAAUCUUUGUGGAGAAUUGUGACACCACUCUAAUAAUUGUGGUUUUACAAACAAUUAAAUUGCUGUCUCACAAUUGAAGUAAAAAAAUAUGUAAUAAUACCUAUAUAUACCUGACAACAAUCAUUGGAGCUGGUUACCACUAAACACAAAACAUGUCUCUUAUGGACACAGAUUUCACCAAAAUUAUAAGAAAUCAAAACAAAUUGAUACAGCCAGUAAGAACCAUUUAACAUUUAUACUAUUGGAUUCAAAUGCUAGGUGGAAAUCACCUAACAGUGCACUGUCAAUGAAAAAAAUCUGCAGUAUGUUACAACUCCUAGGAAAAUAACCAACAGUUGCAACACCAUCUUACCAUCAACCAAUAUACCAAUAUUAUGACAAGGACUCCACAUUAUUGAGUUUAUGUGUGUGAAGAAAUUGUUCUGGAUUUUCAUUUCAUAUUUGAAUCAUUAUUCUAUCAAAGUACAUUGGUAAUAUACUUUUAUCGUGUAUUUUAAAUCAUAGUUGUAAGUAGGUAUACUUCCUUAAA